GACGAACGCUGGCGGCGUGCCUAAUACAUGCAAGUAGAACGCUGAAGGAGGAGCUUGCUUCUCUGGAUGAGUUGCGAACGGGUGAGUAACGCGUAGGUAACCUGCCUGGUAGCGGGGGAUAACUAUUGGAAACGAUAGCUAAUACCGCAUAAGAGUAGAUGUUGCAUGACAUUUGCUUAAAAGGUGCAAUUGCAUCACUACUAGAUGGACCUGCGUUGUAUUAGCUAGUUGGUGGGGAAACGGCUCACCAAAGCGACGAUUCAUAGACGACCUGGGAGGGGUAUCGGGCACACUUGGACUGGUGAACCGCCCAGGCUCCUUCGGGAGGCAGCAGUAGGGGAACUUCGGCAAUGGACGGAAAUCUGACCGAGCAACGCCGCGUGAGUGAAGAAGGUUUUCGGAUCGUAAAGAUCUGUUGUAAGAGAAGAACGAGUGUGAUAGUGGAAAGUUCACGCUGUGACGGUAUCUUACCAGAAAGCGACGGCUAACUACGUG
RNAcentral lists this ribosomal RNA (495 nucleotides) under uncultured bacterium. RNAcentral describes it as "partial 16S ribosomal RNA". It matches the Rfam family "Bacterial small subunit ribosomal RNA", at positions 28 to 507 of the family's 1533-position model. The record is from RNAcentral.